RNAcentral lists this ribosomal RNA (301 nucleotides) under uncultured bacterium. Its description in RNAcentral is "partial 16S ribosomal RNA". It matches the Rfam family "Bacterial small subunit ribosomal RNA", at positions 509 to 807 of the family's 1533-position model. The record is from RNAcentral.
CAGUCGCCGCGGUAAUACGAAGGGGGCUAGUGUUGUUCGGAAUUACUGGGCGUAAAGCGCACGUAGGCGGAUAUUUAAGUCAGGGGUGAAAUCCCGCAGCUCAACUGCGGAACUGCCUUUGAUACUGGGUAUCUUGAGUAUGGAAGAGGUUAGUGGAAUUGCGAGUGUAGAGGUGAAAUUCGUAGAUAUUCGCAGGAACACCAGUGGCGAAGGCGGCUAACUGGUCCAUAACUGACGCUGAGGUGCGAAAGCGUGGGGAGCAAACAGGAUUAGAUACCCGUGUAGUCCCUGUCUCUUAUAC